Long non-coding RNA from Lotus japonicus, 2049 nucleotides. RefSeq lists it as uncharacterized. The record is from RefSeq and is a predicted model, not a curated record. The transcript has 2 exons. Lineage: Eukaryota; Viridiplantae; Streptophyta; Magnoliopsida; Fabales; Fabaceae.
UAAAACGUGCGGUCAAGAUCCCUCAUAUAUCUAAAACGUGAUAACGAUGCCCUUCCGUUAACUUCCGCUAGGUUCCGUCUGUUGACCAAACGGAAAUGCUGACGUGUCACUUAUUUAAUUCAUGAAAUAUAGGCUAAUAAUUUGUGACGGAAAUAUUCCGUCACAAAACCCUUCAGCCAACACCUCACUCUCACUCUCCCUCUCCCUCUCGUGUUUUUCUCCUCUCCCUCACACAUCAUCUUCUUCAUUUUUCUUUACCCUUUCCUCUGCAACCCAACACACCAUGGCAGCACCCUUCUCCUCUAUUCAUCACCCUCUUCAUACUACUCUUCUUCAUUCCUUGGCUGAACCACCACCUCCACGCACGCAACAACCACCGUUGGCCACAACCAUGAAGCUCUGCCCCUGCAAAUGGUCCAACGACCACCACCAGAGCCGCGACCACCACCUGUCAAUCGCAUGCUCCUCCCCCUGUCCCAGCGAACACCGGCGCUCCAACACCACCUCCCGAUUCGAAGAAAAUCGACACAAAAUAGAGGAUAUGAAACCUUACCGCCACCACCUUCUCGCCCCGAUUUCAGAGCCGUCCGACCUCCAAUGGAAAAAUCAACACCAUGGUUAGACUCCCCUUGAAGCCAGCUUCAAAACCCCUCAACCAAUUUGAUGUUCGGUCGUCGUCACUCCGGCGACCGCCACCGACGUCUUCUCCGGCGAGCAUCGUCCUUAAAAUUAAGGGCAGGUUAUGAGUGGUUGCGUCUCAGUUUGCUGGGGUGGGGUUGUUGGGAAAAAAAGAGAGGAAGAAGUUCUCUAAGGGUGGGGGUGAGGGAGGUUGUUGGGUGGUGGAAGUCUCUCCAACGAGCUCAACGACGAGGCGAGAGGACCGAAACGGGUGUGGCUCAACGGCGGUGGAAGCCAAAACAGAAAAGAGGAUUUCAUGGUGUCUCGGCAUUGGGGUUUGCAGGUCGUUGAGUUUGGCUGGGAUGGAGGUGAGUUCUUGGGGCUGUUCAAAGGUUGAAGGAAGGUAAAUUUGGUGGUGAUUUGGAGACCGAGGGAAAGGGGAUGGCUUUGACUAAUUUGGAGGAGGUCACGACACUUUCUCAUUAGAAAGAAAAUUAUACAUUUUAUACCAGAUGUUGAUGCGGCUGCUAUUGAAUCAACUGAGGAAUUUUGAGUCUUUGUCUCCCCUUGCUUGUGAGAUGGUGAUGAAUUUGUCAUAAUUACAUCAGCUUCACCAUCAGUAGCAGAUUUCUUUAAAAGGGACUGCUCUUCCAAUUGCUCAUGGCUUGCCUUGCGCUUAAGAGUUGAAGAGGUAAGGACUCUAGCAUUGGUCUUCCAGACAGCUUAAGGGAGAGGAGAUGGUAAUGUAGGGAACAUCUUGAGUCGAUCAUACCUUGAGCACUUUUCUCUGUUUAUCAUGGAAAAUUAUAUCUUCAUCUUAUUCAUUCUAAUCCUUGAGUGUAUAGGAUUUGGAAUGUAAAAGUGGGUUUUCUUAUUGAUUCUAUGAGUUUUAUUUUUUUAGGAGUACAAAAAAUGGUUCAAUCAGCGUGAAGAUUGGUUUUUUAUGAGGCAAAAUGCAAGAUUUCUCAACCUCCUCCAGGAUUUUCAGACGGAAGGAUGAAGAGUUUUCUAAGGUGAAAAUGAGUGUGAAAAAAUGGGUUGCAGUGAUGGUGAUGUGGUGCGGGGGUUAGUGGUUCUAGAUUUUGUGUUAAAAGAAGUUGUGUUUCUGGAAUUUUGUUGAAGGAGUUUGUGUUUCUGGAUUUUAUUUUUGAUUCCAAGUUUGUGUUUCUGUAUUGUGUUGAGGGGGGUUGUAUUUUUGGAUUGGUUGGAAGAGGCCUGUGUUUGUGACGGAUUAUUUCUGUCACCAAUUUGCUUUUCAGAAUUAAUGAAUUUAGUCAGGGACUUUCGUUUAGUCAACUGACGGAACUUAACGGAAGGGCCUCAGCAGAUCGUUCUAGAAUCAUGAGGGACCUUGACCGCACAUUUCAAACACAGGGGGUGCAGAUCGCACAUUUGUGAAACAUCAGGGACCCAAACUGGAAUUAAGCCUAA